GGUUCCAUUGUGUAGUGGUUAUCACAUCUGCUUUACACGCAGAAGGUAGUGGGUUCGAUCCCCACUGGAACCA
Molecule: transfer RNA, 73 nt
Organism: Basidiobolus meristosporus CBS 931.73
Lineage: Eukaryota; Fungi; Basidiobolomycota; Basidiobolomycetes; Basidiobolales; Basidiobolaceae
Rfam family: tRNA
About the family: Transfer RNA (tRNA) molecules are approximately 80 nucleotides in length.
Source: Rfam